UUUUCUAUUUCAAGUGGAUUUAGACAUACAUUUUGCAUAUCGCUGAUGUUUUUAUCAGAGUAUUAAUAAAAUGCAAUGUUUAGUUUGCAAGGAACAAGAAUUUACCUUUAGGAAACUUAUAUUGGUAUUGGCGACAUUUUUAUAUAAUAUAUCAAUAUCUGAAAUUGUGUGAAUACAUGUUUUUAUCAUUUAUUUUAUAUAUUAGUAACGAUAUGACUGAAUAUUUUGAAUAUAAAUAAUGUCGAAACGACAUGAUUACGCCAUCGAUGUAGAAGAAAUCGACGAAAGCUGCUUCAGUCUGCACUAUAAAUUCACGUUAACAUUUGUCUAUAUAUCAGUGUUCUUUUAUCCGUCGAAUUUCAUUGAUUAUUUGUGCAGUAUUCUUGUGCUUGAGAUGAAUAUCCAUUUAUAAAACUACGAAUUUUGCACAAUUUAUACAAAUUUGUAAUGAUAAUAGUCAAGUGAUAACAAGCAAUAAAAAAAAUUCUUUUUUUGGAAUUAUUUAGUUUUUUCAUUGUUAGUAGCACAGUUUUCAUAAGUUUUAAUGAUAAAAUUACUCUUUUAUUACAAGAGAAUAAUUCAAACUUACGCUAUAAUAAAAUUUAUUAUACAAAUAAAACAUCUUUUCUACAACUCAAAAUUAAUUUUAUAAUUGAUAUAUUAAAUGUUUGCUGCUAACUUAUAAUAAGAAAGUAAACGAUUGUAUUAUGUACUAAAAUAUCGCAUUAUGUCGCAACGGCAACUUACAUUUAUUUUGUGUGUCUGCGUAAACUUUACCACGUUACUUUCCGCACAAAUUCAUAAAUGGAAUAAUGACAACAGCAAGAAUAAUUAUAUGCUGCCUGGUUAUGCUGUUGCUGCAGUAGCUUUGGGCCUUCUUAACUCAACGUUAUGUGAAAAGGAAUUGUUAAAUUUCCGGGAUGCUGUCGACCAACGAGUACUCUGGAGUUUGAGAAUGUUGGAUUCCAGCGGCGAAUUUCAAUCAGGUUUUCUUGGUGGAAACACUUAUUGGCUAGGGAGUCAAAGCCAGUGCUUUGAUACAAUGAAUAUUACUCCUCUACAACUUUCAGAGCGACUUUUAUUAAACAAUACGUUGUAUCGGGACCCGCAAAAAGAAUUUCCGCCUUUCAAAGUGAAUUACUUUGCUGCCCACUUUAAACACAAUAGUACUCUUCAGUACCACAUAAAUCUGCCUAACGAAAAUGUGAUAACACUUGGACUCUGUUUACCAGCAUCAUGCUCUGUGAAUGAUAUAAGUUUAAUUCUAAAAAGGAUAUUCCGCGAUAGAGUUCUUCUAAUUAAUGACCUAUAUUCCAUAGACUUUGAGCUGAUUCAGGUUAAAGAUUUAAAAAACAAUUAUAAAUGGUUCAUUAGUGGAGCCAUACUUGUUAUUUGCGUUAUUUUAGUGCUUUCAAUUUUUAUGGUGAUAAUUGGAACGUUGUAUGAUAUACUCAUAAGUCAGAAAUAUUUAAAUAAGAAGAAUAAAAUCGACACUAAUGGGAAAAACACAAUUCAGAUAAUGGAAAUGGAAGCGGAUUUGUCUUUGCAGGAAAGUAGAAUUGGAAAAAUCUUAAUGUGUUUCUCCGUUUACGCAAACACAAAAGUGAUAUUUAACACAAAAUCGCAUCCCGACACUGUGCCCGUUAUUCACAGCUUAAAAUUUCUGAGUAUGUGUUGGUUAAUCAUGGCCCAUACCGCAACUUAUAUAAUAGACUACAUCGACAAUAAAAUAGUAGGCUGGAAAAUAAGCUCUGGUUUUGGCCCUCAAAUAUUAAGCAACGCAACUUUAGGAGUCGACACCUAUUUCUUCUUAAGUGGAUUUUUAGUGGCCUAUUUUUAUAUAAAGGAUAAAUUGGAUAAAGAUCGAAUACAACCAUUCACUUACAGAGCAAAGAUAAAUGAAUUCAUCAUCCUUGUAACAAGAAGAUUUAUUCGGCUGACUCCGGCUUAUAUGGCGGUAUUAGCAAUAUCACAAUUAAUAUCGACUUGGUUCGAUAAGACUUCACUAUUUUAUAUAUAUGAAAGGCCACAUGAAACUUGCUCUAAGUACUGGUGGAGAAAUCUUAUCUACAUAAAUAAUCUGUUCGGUUUAAAAGAAAUGUGUAUGAGUUGGAGUUGGUACCUGUCCGCCGAUAUGCAAUUUUUUAUGAUCGCUGUGGCUCUGUUAAUUUUGUCAACAAUUUAUUUUUAUAUAGCUGCAGCUAUAUUGAGUGCACUUUUAAUAGGUUCAAUUGUCCUUAGCGGUUAUCUUUCAUAUAUUUAUGAAUACGUCCCGACAUUAGAUGAACAAUAUAGGCUUAUAGAUGUAUUAUACUUCCCAUCAUGGACUAGAAUAAGUCCAUACAUUGUCGGAAUGAUUACUGGUUAUGUUUUAACGCAAUUAAACGGAAAGUUGGUUUUAAAACGGGUAUCGUUUGCCGGUUCUUAUCAUUCAAAGGUUGGGCUCCUUUUAGUAGAUUAUCAUAUUGCGCUUAUCUCUUAAAUCCUAUAAUCAUACACUCACUUAGGCUGCAAAGCGAAACGUCUGUUCAUUUCAGCUUAUCGUCUUUGACUGUCUUGUUUAUAGGACACUUUAUAAUUAUUUAUUUUUCCUCUUAUAUAUUGUCAUUAAUAGUUGAAACACCAUAUAGCCUACUGAUGCGAAAAAUCAUGCAAACUCGCAGCAGAAGAAAGUACAAGUGGCGUAACAGUG
This 2692-nucleotide unclassified non-coding RNA is filed under the name Monomorium pharaonis (pharaoh ant). Its description in RNAcentral is "nose resistant to fluoxetine protein 6, transcript variant X1". Lineage: Eukaryota; Metazoa; Arthropoda; Insecta; Hymenoptera; Formicidae. The record is from RNAcentral.